UGAAUCUUUUUACAAGAAAGUAGAGUGUAACUAGAAAAUUAAAAAUGAGCACUGGAGCCAGGUGCAGUGGCUCAUGUCUAUAAUCCCAGCACUUUGGGAGGCUGAGGUGGGAGGAUCUCUUGACUCCAGGAGUUUGAGACCAGCUUGGGCAACAUAGGGAGAACCUGUCUCUACAAAAAAUAAAAAUUCAGCCAAGCAUGGUAUGUAUGCCUGUGGUUUCAACUACUUGGGAGGUUGAGAUGGGAAGAUCACCUGAGCCCAGGAGGUUGAGGUUGCAGUGUGACAUGAUCACACCACUGCACUCCAGCCUGGGCGACAGAGUGCGAUCCUGUCUCAAAAUAAAUAAAUAAAUAAAUAAAUAAAUAAAUAAAUAAAGCACUGUUUUUAUUCUUUAAUUCAGAUGUUACUGAAAAUCUACUAUGUUCCAGGAAGGGUGUAAGGCAGUAUGGACACAAGGAUAAAGCAUGGUCUUUGUUCUCAAGAAUCACCUAGUGCAGCAGGCCCCACCAGCACACAAUUAUGUAGUAGCAUAUUGGUAGCCACUGGUGUUCACUAUGCUUGCAUAAGCUUGAACUUGAAGGAUGACUAGAUGUGGGGGAGCCAGGACGAAGGUCAUUUUGGGCUGAGAGAGAAAUAUGUGCAAAGGCCCGGAUGAGGGAGAAAUUAUGGAAUGACCAGGAAUUUGAAAGAAAUUCAUUGUCACUUGAGGGGGAGUGUGAGUCGUAUAAGAUAACGCAGUGGUAUGUCUGCAGGUAUGCUUGUUAAACAUUUACCAGCAUAUCCCUGAAGAUGAGGUUUGGAAGGUGGACAAAAAACCAGAUCAUGAAGAUGUUGCAUGUCAUGCUCAGGAGGCUGAGUUUUAUCCUGAAAGCCAUGGAGAGCUAUUGGACCAUUUAGGGUAGAGGCACGCUCAGAUUUAGGUUUAGAAAGAUAACUCAGAGAAUGGACAAGAUUGGCAUCAGGGAGACAAACUGACAGGCAGCUGCGGUGGUCAGGCCAGAGCUAUUGAGGGUGGUGGCAUUGGGGUGGAGGCAAAACAUUCAAGAGAUGCUAAGGGUGUAUCAUCAACAGGGCCCAGUGGCCAAGUUGGAUAUGCAUGGUGAUAAAGGGGGAGACCUGGUCUUUUCUGGCUUGGGCAACUGUGGGGAUAGCAGACACAUGCCUCAAGUUAGAGGAUAUGGAAAGAUAAGCAGGCUAUGGGCAUGAGGAUUAUGAGGAGCUCUGUCUAAACUUGUUUUAUCUCAUAUUUGGCAUUUACUAUAUUUUUUGUUGUAUUUUGUUACUCAUCCUUUUAGGUGGACUCUGAUCCUUCUGAGGUCCUGGAUCAGAUUAACCAACGUGGGUAUGCCCCGCACCUUUCACUCAUUACCACCCCUCAAAAGGUCACUUUGCCAAACAUGAGUACAUGGCCCCCACGCUAAGCCUGUGAGCAGCUGCAAGCCAUAUCAUCUGCACAGUUGAGCACGGCAGGAACUUUGAACCAGGACCCAAUUUCACCCUGAGGAUGUGCUUCUCCUCUGAGGGGAGCAAAGCCCCUGGCUUGACCUGGCUCCCUUCUGGGAGGGAGGACCACGUCUCAAUUUGACAGCAGGAGGCUGUAGGUCAGUGGGGUGAUGACCUGGCCCUGGGAGACCUGCUCUUUCUCUCAGCAGAACCCCAUAAAUCCUUCAAAAGGAAGUAAGUAAUUCCCUCGGGAUCAAGAGAGCCCUCCGCAUUCUUGAAAUAAAUGAAGGCAAAAUGUACAGGGAUUUCUGAGAAAAGUAAAUGUGGUGUGAGCAUGAUCCCUGGGUGUUACUAUGCACAGAAAAGGCUUUUUUUUUUUUUUUUUCCCCUCUCCUGAAUGGUGUUCUUUGCUCUCAAGUGAACUCAUGCACUGGAUUUGGUCCAAGUACAUUUUGUUUCUUGAUUUCCAGCCAGGCUUCUCUCAGUUGUGAUGCAUUCUCUUCUUUGCUUCCCUCCUUCCCCAGUCCUGUUCUCUCUUUUUAUAAUGCUUUCAACUUUUCCAUGUGACUGAACCAACACAGAGGAAAACCCACCAGCUUAGGUAGGGCUUCCACAAGAGUGGGGCCAGAGGGACUUCUUUGUGAACGGCCAGCCCCUCACGCAGCCCCGGCCUGCACGGCGAGGUUUGUCUGAGGCAGCUGAAGCAGAAAGCAUUUGAACUCUGCCCUCUACCAAAUGAUUUCCAGAUGUGUAAACCCCAGCCUCCCGCUGCACUCUGACUGUAGCCCUGCCAACGUACAUCUGCAGAUUCCUAGUGCACAGGAAACUUGAAAGAGUAUCUUUACAACAUCUGCUGUCUUUUCCCAGCUCUCCCUCUCUGCCUUCUCGGACUUUGCCCCGUAUUUUAUAUCCUCUCUUCAACAAAUCCAUUAGAGAACUGCUGCACAGCCCUUCUUGGCUCACAGAUGCCAGCUGUCUGUUUCACCCCAGAGCCUGUUCUUGGCUCUCUCAAGCACCACUAGAAUCAUUGACCGAAGCACCACUAGAAUCAUUAAAGAAGCUUAUUGGGCUCAUGGAGGGGAAAAAAAGGACCAAGUUUUCUCCAUUGGAUUGGUGCCAGUCUACAAGCUGCAAAGGGAGAUUUAGCCAUAAGGAGGUCAGAGCAGAGCCCUAAAGAUGGAAACACGAGUUUGCAUGGAGAGUUUGCCUGCUAUACCUGAGAGAAGGGGAAGUAUUGAUGUACAGAAUGAGUUCCUUGCCUUCCCCUUCCCUAGGGCAUGCUACCCAUCAAGCUAAGAGGCCAGAAGAAGAUCUUUUUAUAAUGUAACUCAAAGGAGGGGAGAAAAGAGCCAGAGACCCUUUUAGCAUAAUGGAGCAGAUGAUUUUUACUAAGGCGUGCACUCUCACCAGGGAAAUGGCUUGAUUGCUGUGUAAAUAGAUGCUUGACCUUCAUCCUGCCAUUCAUCCAUAUGGACCCUAAACGCUCUCCAGCUCUAUCCUAGGGGACAUGGAAUGGAGGCAAGUGUCAAAAUCUUGGCAAGGAAAAGAGGGUGCACUAUAGAAGGGAGCAGAGAAUUGAAUGGGCCUAUGAGCUCAGGAGCCUUGGGGAGGAACAGUUAUAGGUGAGAGGCCCCCACCUACAUGGGACCUAUGCCCUAAGCAUGCAGGCCUACCUGGGAGGCAGUGAGCUAGCUGGGUUAGGGAAAACUGUUCCUUAUUGCCACCCAUGGUGGGUCUAGUGUGGCUUAAGAGGUGAUUUUCUGGUCCCUGGUAAGACCGUCUCACCCUCUUAUCUGCAGGACAUAAUAGUAAGUGGGUGACAUUUAUAUUUUCGGCUUCAAUAGUCCCAAACACUUUAGACAGACUGAGGCUCUCAGAUGAAGCCCUAUGACUUGGCUGACUUGCUGCCACAGUAGCCUCCCUAUUUACAAAAACAAAAUCCACCAAAACACAUUGGCCUUGUACUUCAAGCAGGAAAUAUAAGAAAAACAAGGGGAAGAGAUAAAGCAGGUUUUGGAAUUCCUUUCCUUCACCCAUAUCUUUCCUUACAGGUUUUCCAAAGACAUUGGAACACCCCUGUAGCCAUAGUAGCUCUUUUUUAAAGAGGAGAGGAAUCUGUAGAUUCUUUCACAUGAGGGUGGGUGAGUAAAAGUUAAGCAAACAAUUCCCUUGUGCAUGAUUAUUUAGCUUAUGGUGAACCUAUGGUUAACUGUGGAGCUCUGAUACUCUGGCAACCUCCUAAGGGUAGAAUGCAAACUCCAUUUCUAGGCAGCAUUGCUGAUGAUAAAAAUGACCCCGAUUGGUAGAUUGCAUCUGGACUGGGAGGAACCAUAAACAAAUCAUAAUAUCUGCCAGGGACGCGAUGCUUUGUGCUUCCCUGAAAGUGGUUACGUUUUUAAGGUGCAUCUUGGGGCAAUAAAAGCAAUGUCUAGGGAGUUGUCUCAGGAGAUAUUGGCUCCUUUGAAGAGUGAGCUUUUUAAUCAGGUUAGCCCUCACAUCUGCCCAAUGUGGAACUCAUCCCUCAUACCUGAACUGCCUCUGGGUGGAAGAAAAUGCUGGAUGGCUGUGAGUUGAGAGGAUUUGAAAUGGAACACAAAGUGUAUUUGAUACUCCUAAGCCCAGGGUCAGACAGAUUCUAAGCUAGUCCUGGGUGAUGAUCUCUACCUCCUAGUAUUGUAUAAUCCUUCCCCUCGAGUAACUUGCUUCUAACAGAUAGAAUAUGCAAUAUUGAAGGUGUUACUUCUGUUACUAGGUUACAAAAAUUGUGAUUUCUGUCUUGUUAGCAAAUUCUUUCUCUUAUUGGCUUUGAUGAAGUAAGUUGAUAUGUUAGAGAGGCCUACAUGGCAAAGAACUGAGGACACCGUAUCGUUCACAGUUAGCAAGCAACCAGAGUCUUCAUUCCAGAGCCUUUGAGGAACAAAAUCCUGCCAAAAACCACAUAAGUGAGUUUGGAAGCAAAUCUUCCUUUAGUCAAACCUUCAGAUGAGAUCUCAGCCCUAUCUGACACCUUGGUUGCAGUCUUGUGAGAGUCUAAAAGUAGAAGUCUAGCUAAGCUCUCCCUGCAUUCUUGACUCUCAGGAACUGUGAGAUAAAAUAUAUAUAUAUAUUAUAUAUAUUAUUUUAAGGUGAUAAAUUUUAGGGUAGUUUGUUACUAGGAUGACCAACAGUGUUGGUUUGCCUAAGACUAACUCAAGACUGUCCCAGUUCUGGCACUGAUAAUCCUGAGUUCCAGUAAAUCCCUCAGCCUUGGACAAACUGGAACAAUUGUUACUCUAUUUGUGAUAGACAAUUAGUACAUAUAUGCAUAUGUUAUUUCUCACUUAAGCAAGUGUAUCUUCAAGAUAGACUCCUAGAAGUGGGUUUUUGGGGUCUAAACAGUAAAGUCACCUAGAAUUUUAUGUUUCUAAAUUCCCCUUCAUAAGGUUUGUACCAUUUUGUACUCCCAUCUGCAAGAUGAAAAUGCUUGUUUCUCCAUGGUCUGCUGUUUUCAUUACCAGUUUAUUUGAUAAUUAAAGCAAUUUAAUCUUUUAUUAUCUAAGUGUAAGCUGAUUCAUAGUCUCUUAGAAUAAAGAAAUACAUUUAAACAUUAAUUAACACUUGUAGAAUUGAACUGCAUGAUUUAUACUUUAUUUCGA
Molecule: long non-coding RNA, 5078 nt
Filed under: Homo sapiens (human)
Lineage: Eukaryota; Metazoa; Chordata; Mammalia; Primates; Hominidae
Description: HSALNT0088911
Source: RNAcentral